RNAcentral lists this ribosomal RNA (199 nucleotides) under Clostridioides difficile. RNAcentral's name for it is "partial 23S ribosomal RNA". It matches the Rfam family "Bacterial large subunit ribosomal RNA", at positions 1016 to 1214 of the family's 2925-position model. The record is from RNAcentral. Lineage: Bacteria; Bacillati; Bacillota; Clostridia; Peptostreptococcales; Peptostreptococcaceae.
AGGGCAACAGCCCAGAUCGGCAGCCAAGGUCCCUAAAUGUAAGUUAUGUGGUAAAGGAUGUUGGAUUGCACAGACAACCAGGACGUUGGCUUAGAAGCAGCCACUCAUUCAAAGAGUGCGUAAUAGCUCACUGGUCGAGUGAUCCUGCGCCGAAGAUUUCCGGGGCUAAAACUUACUACCGAAGCUACGGCAUCAGUAU